UAAUACAGAGGGUGCAAGCGUUAAUCGGAAUUACUGGGCGUAAAGGGCGCGUAGGCGGAUGAAUAAGUUAGGUGUGAAAUCCCUGGGCUUAACCUGGGCAUGGCACUUAAUACUGUUUAUCUAGAGUAGAGUAGAGGGAAGUGGAAUUUCCGGUGUAGCGGUGAAAUGCGUAGAGAUCGGAAAGAACACCAGUGGCGAAGGCGGCUUCCUGGACUCAUACUGACGCUGAGGCGCGAAAGCGUGGGGAGCAAACAGG
This 256-nucleotide ribosomal RNA is filed under the name uncultured bacterium. RNAcentral's name for it is "partial 16S ribosomal RNA". It matches the Rfam family "Bacterial small subunit ribosomal RNA", at positions 521 to 776 of the family's 1533-position model. The record is from RNAcentral.